Long non-coding RNA from Lolium perenne, 3180 nucleotides. RefSeq lists it as uncharacterized. The record is from RefSeq and is a predicted model, not a curated record. Lineage: Eukaryota; Viridiplantae; Streptophyta; Magnoliopsida; Poales; Poaceae.
AAAGCGGUGCUGCCUUUUUUCUGUCCCGUUCUGGCUCUCUUGGUGAACCGUUCCAUGAUUUUACUCUCCUCAUUUUCUCUCCCCAAUUCCUCUCGGCUUGGCACAUUUCCUACCAGAGCUCCUCCCUGAUCCUACUCCUGCCCCCAUCUUCUCCAUGACUGGAGUCUCCUGCUUCCGAGGUCAUCGUGGCUACGCCAGGGCAGCCUUGGCGCUCUGUUCUUCCCGCCAACCAUUGGCGCCCCCACGAGGAGCUCGCCGGCCAGCUUCGAGGCGAGAGCUUGGGAUGGAGCGGUGAAUAUUGAGGUCCUCAGAGCUGGCGGGCGAGCGACUUUGUUACCGAAUUUCGCGAUCUGCUAUUACCGCGGCAGCCGUUUCCAGUCUCCACAAGGACAUCCCUCGGCCUACUUUGAUGUACUCCAUUGCCGUGCCUAAUGGCGCGACCACCGCCAGCAUAGGCGCGGAACGCCGCUGCUAGCAUCGUCUAUCCCCAGAACGCGGGGAGCUGGCCGAGCAGGAGCAGAGAGAGUCAACCGCAGAUCGAGGUGAGAUGCACCGGCACACUCUGCGACCAGACCAUGCCAUGCGACAGAUCAGGACACUCUGUUAAAGAUCUCUGCGGGUCUCCUGCUAGCUUGCAUGACCUUCAGCUCUAUUCUUGCUGCUGCCGGGCGACCUGCUAUCGGAGCUUGGAAGCCUGAUUCCGGAUGGCCUCCAUUGUCCUCCGCCUGAGCCGCCAACGCUGUUGGCUCCCUAAACGACGGAGAGAUCGGAAUUGGGGAGGAAUGGAGAUCUGAAUCGGAGGGUGCGGGAGGAGGGUGUGGAAUAGUGUCUUGACCCAGGCUCACAAGGUCAAGCUGUAGCUUGGUUCAGAAAAUCAAUGUCUCCAGUGAAGGUGUCAAAUUUGUUAUGGCAGAGGUAAAAUCUUGGCAGCCUGCAGGAUUUCUUGGACACUGGACAGAAAUGGAGCCAGAUUAAGAGGUUGAGCCCUACGUCAGGCAAUUGUAUAGUAAUUUAUUUAUCCAAAUAAACCAAGCACAGCUGUUUGGAAUUUAUGUAAUUCUCAUUUUUAGUUUAUGCUAACAGGUCGGCAAUAGAUGUACUAGCUAUAACCUAACAUGAAAAUACAGUAAUCUUUUGCCUUCAUGAAUUUGAACAUCAACAUCUUAAUGGAAAAGGUACACUUGAUUUAGAGAAUACAAACAUAGGUAAUAUGCAUAUUGUAUUAGACUCUUAGUUGUCUACAUGACCAUGAUAAUUUUCUUGGUAUAGUGCUAUACUUUCAAAUUACUUUAUCUCUUUCUUCCUUAAUACUUUGUUCAGUCAUAUGUAUUCUGGUUGUUGUAGGCUUGGGUUUUUGAAGAAGCAAAAAGGGAGCUACAGGUGGUUCAUGUUUCUGCUUGAUUAUUUGUUUUGCAGUCAUCUGAUUCAAUGUUUCCUUCGGUUGCUCAAGGAGGUUCUUUUCAACGUUUGCAUGGUUUGUUUCUGUCCAUUUUAUGUUCUGAUUUCGGUGGUCACUUAAUUUUUUGUUUCUCAUUCUUCUUGUUUUUAUGUAUAUUUUUCAGCUUUGCAUGGGAAUUCUUUUAGUAUUCAUAGGUCUUUAUGUUCAGGUCAUUCGCAUGGUUUAUGUACUGAUUCGCCAUUUGUGGCCUUGUGGAUGAUGGUUCCUCUAGGAAACCGAUUAAUCUUCACUUAGUUUGUGCCUUUUGGUUUUUCUAAUUCUAUGUUGUUUUCUGUGGCUGACAACUUAACUAUAAGACUUGCUUCUGGUCUAAGAGGUAGAACAUGAAGACCAAAUUGCAGAAAUCCCACAACCAUGACAAAUUAAAAUCCCAUUUUAAUUGAACUUGAUUGACAUGGGCACAUGACAUAUACCAUGGCAUUGAAGGUUGAGUGGUGUCAAUGCCUUGGCAUCUACUUGCUGUAUCAGUCUAAGCUGAGAUAACUGGUCCUUUAAUGUCUGGCGUAAAUGAACUGCUAGAGUUACUAAAACAUGAUGGUAGUAAUUUUCCUUUUCCUGAUGGUUUAGAUGAGCUGCUAGAGUGGCUUAUAUAUGAUGGUGAUGUCUUAGAUGGAACCCACUGCAGCUGCUGGUUUCAGCUUCUCGGUUCUCAAGCUAUCUAUGAGAGACAGCUCACUCGCAGCCAUAAUAGACUUAGUUUAUCUAGAAGGACCAGGUGCUGAGACUUCCUUAACUGCUUUGUUUGUAAUGUGCGUUAUUCUACGUAUCUAUAGUGGAUGAAUAUAUAAAAAAAUGGCUCUUUUGUUUCCUGUUUUUAUGCUGCUUUUUGCUACUGCAAAUGUGUUUCAACUCUUGCCAACAGAGUCAGAUACCUCAAACGAAAUGUAGAGUGCAGAAUAACGUAUCAGUUGCUGUCAGUUUGAUCUUUCUUCAUUCCCUCCGCUUGCGAUGCCUAUUUUCUUCAGUCUCCCCAGCCAGGAGAAGACGAAGCCACUGAAAGCUCACCAGUUACGUAUGAAGCAGAGUCACAGGCCUGGACUAUUUCGCUGACCUAGCCAGCACACGUGUGCUAGAUUUACUACAACAUCCCGUUAGAUAUAUUCCUUUCCAUUUUUCUGAGGUAGGUUCUAUGUGACAAAUGUAAAGGUAAUGUCACACAUACAGUAUCAAGAUUAAACACAUGGCGGUAGAUUUACUACAGCGUUCCGUUAACUCACUAUUUGUCACACACUGUCUUUACGUUUUCCUUCCAAAAUUACAAGUGGUCACUCACCAUUAUUUGUCACACACUAUCUUUACGUUUUCCUUCCAAAAUAACAAGUGGUCACUCACUGUAUGCAGAUUGAAUUACAUAGCCUGUAAAUUUUGCUGAAUUUAGAGUAGCACAAAUAGGGCAUUGGCUACUUCUCUAAGCUGAACAAUUGUAUCUAAAGAUAGGCUUUGAAUCAUUGCUUUUGAGACCUUGAUGUGCACAGUCAUGACCAACCCAACCGAGGUCUCCUUUUUUGUGAAAUAUAUUGCAGCAUGUAGUUGAGCAAAAUUCUGAAAGGAGGCAAUGACAUCUCUAAUUUCAUAUGUCACCUGUUGCAUAGAAAUGGAGUUUGUUGCUGAAGCUCUAGCGAGCCUGACUGUUCUAUUUUUUUUCGGGGGUAGCAAUGGAUUGUCUGUAAGAAAAGUGACUAGCAGAGGAUUUUCACGAAGUACAUGAACUCUUAUUUUUA